AGUGCGGCGGCCGGGCCCGCCCCCAGCGCGUCCCGCUCCCCGGCACCUGCGGCCCGGCCCCGCCGCCGCGGGCCCCCUCUCUCCGCCAGCCCCGCCGCCGGCUCCUCCGCCCCGCCCGCCGGGCCUCUCCCCCCCGCCCCGGCCCGUAGGCGGGGCGGACUGCGGGCGGCACCUCCCGCAGCGGGGCCGAGGCGGCUCUUUCCGUCGGUCGCCGCCGCAGCAUGAGCGGGCCGGGGUUGCUGGGGCCCGGUGGCGGUGCGGGGCUGCCGCCGCUGCCCAAGAGCCUGAGCGGGCUGCUGAACUCCUCCUCCUCCGGCGGCGGCGGCCAGGGCGGGCGCUGGCGGGACCUGGAGCGGCUCUACGCGCAGAAGUCCCGCAUCCAGGACGAGCUGAGCGGCGGCGGCCGGGGCUCGCCGCGCCCGCCCAAGCCUCCCAACCUGGACGCGGCGCUGGCCCUGCUCCGCAAGGAGAUGGUUGGCCUUCGGCAGCUAGAUAUGUCACUGCUGUGUCAGCUGUACUCCCUGUAUGAAUCCAUUCAAGAAUACAAAGGUGCUUGCCAAGCUGACUCUAAUGCAGACUGCACGUAUGCUAUGGAAAAUGGUUUUUUUGAUGAAGAAGAGGAAUACUUCUAGAAGCAGGAAGAUUCACCUCCAGGCUGACCGAGGUUCUUUGGUCCUUUUCUCCCUGUAACACACCUUGGCAAGAACGACUGGAGUCUGUAUGGAUCCCUCUUCCUGAAGAGGAGCACCCAGCUACCCCGAGUUGUGUUAAAUUCGCUUAUUUUAACAGGCUGUCAGUACAAGUUACUCAUGCAAAUACCUCUUGAGGAAAGUGCUGUACUCUUAACUUUUGAAGAGUCCUCAGACAUGCUUGACAAGAGUUUUCAAUUUAAUUUGCAAGAUCUGGGCUGAUGUCUCAAACAUCCCAUCUCAAUUUCUGGACCAAGCAGACUACACCAUUUUCCAGAAUUAAUCCAAAGAAGAUGGCCAACCAAGGGAGAAUUCGGUUCAAGUUCAAUGUAACUGCAAAAGAAACCAGGACAAAUUUAUCACCAUUGAAGAAGAUCAUGGAAGCCAUGCUUAUUCACACAAACGCUAGAGAAGAACAUACAAAAGAAGAUUAUCCUUGAAUACAAUAGGUGUCAUAAAGGUAAGAUGAAGGAUAUCCUACAUACCCCAGGAUUUAUUAUGCUAUCAAAUUUUCCUACAACGGAACAUUUUUUGACCAGGGUCAAAAGUCUUUCUGAGAAGAGGAAAGAAUGAUCUUUUCAAGUGGAGGGUGCCAACCAAACACCAAUCAAAACCCUUGCAGUUAAGAGGUACUGAAAAUUUUCACUGAUAGCUGACAUGAAUUGUAGACAUUUAAAUUUUAUCAGACCAACCCUCCAGGCAAAACCAAUGAUACAGAAAUUCUACCGCAGAUAUAUCAGGAGACUGCUACAAAUGAAUACACAAAUAGUGGUGUUACCCAUAAAAUGGGUCUUCUGCUCCACAUCUGAGAGAAUGACAUUUAAUUCAAUAUUUCAGCAUACCACCACCAAACACUUAAGAAUCCUAUUUCUCUUGUGUUACUUCAACAGGAAAAGGAAACCUGCUGUAUCACAAAAAAGCAGCUAUCUUCAAGGACUUUUCACCCACAGACACACGCACAUUCAUGUCUGCCUAUCUUCUACAGGUAGAUGAGAGCUCUAUUCUUAAUGUACUUUAUUUCUAUUUGAGUCUCAACUGUAUGAAGGAAAAGUCCCCUGUGCUUAUCCAGGCUGAGACCUAGCCAGCGUGAGUUCAUUCAGGGACUUGUGAGACCCACAAACCACUUUACUGCAAAGACUCGCGUGUGCUGCCAUAGAAUAAUUGGACAAAAUGAAGAUGAUGCUAUACCAUGAGAACAUCACAGAAUUAACAGACCCGUUAGGGUGAAUUUUUCUCCAUACCUGGCUUUUCUGUUACUUUUUUUCCCAGCUGUACUACUAAAACAUUUGACAUUAACCUUAAAUGCCUCAGAAGGAACCCUGUGACUAGAGCCUGACUUCAGCAAAAUCAGUGCAAGGAAGAGUUAAUGCACACAUAGGUUUAACCAGGUAGCUUUGUCUAGUUAAAGUAAUGGAACUGUAUGGGCAUUGAUAAUCCUUACACUUUUAGAGGAGAUCAGUAUAAGCAGCUCAGCCAUGGAGAACUGCUUGCAUAUUUACUUUUAACAUUUCAGUCAGGCACUUUAGAGUGAACGACAAUACUCGUGCUCACAUCUCAUUUCCAAUUGCAGUUCUGCACAGCUGUAUUCAAUGGCCAGUUCAGUAUGAGAGAAGGCACAUCUUUUAAUCAAAACAGAGCUUUUUUGGUCUUUGCAUUUUGUCAAAGAAAUGCCUCAGUUAUCAUAACCAGGUCUAAAACCAUCUAAAGAAAUAACUGGAUUUCUAUGGGGUUUUUUUACCAGUUUUUAAUUUCUUCUUUAGCUAUGUAACUGACAUCAAAACCAGGAAAUAACUGGUAUAUUUCUUUGAAAAAACAGACAUUAAUUUGAUUAAAAGGUUCUUUCAGAUUAUGCUGCAGAAGAGAAAGGUCAAGCUUGACACCAUAAAUUCUAUUUACAUAUCUUCUUCUAAAUUGGUAAAUUUAAGGAAAAUUAUGAAUAUUUGAUACUGACACAGAAGUCCAGUAGAUACUGUGCUCCCCUAAAAAGGGUGUUGAAUGUAUUCAAUAUUCUAAUGAAUUUAAAUGGGUAUUAGUUUAGGAAUUGUUUGACUAAUCAAAUAUUUAGGAAUAUUUGACUAUGCUUGUCUGUUGUUAAAACAAACAAAGCCUAAACCACCUUCCAUUUUCAUGAGCAAAUGCAGCUUUAAAGAAAAAAGAAAUCUUCCAGAGCCAGUACAACCACGCUCUUCAUAGUGUAGUAUCAGAUUCUUUCUGAUCAAAGCAAUCCAAAACACUUACGGAAAGUAACAUAUGUUUUAACAUUUCAGUGGUAUUAAAUAAGACAAAAGAAGCACUGAAAUGUUAUUUCUGACUUCACGUUUAUCAGCCUUUUAUAAAACACUACUCAAAAGAUAUACCUCUUUGUUCACCACAGAUACUCAACUGUAAACACAGUUCACAAACGUAUGCCAAAUACAAUACAGUGUACUAAUAUUUGAGGAAGUACCUACUGUCACUGAAGGGCAAAGUUCCUAAAUAUAUGAACAUGACUUUUAGAGUCCUCUCUCCAACAUUAAAACAUAGCUGAAUUUUUAAGGUAUUUUGGGAUGAGGGUGGUUGAAGGGAAAAAUGUUCUUGAAGAGGAAGCCAUAGGACACAACUGAAAAUAAAAAUAUACACUGAAUAACCAAGCUUCAUCCUCAACUAUUAACAGCAUGAAAACCACACCAGGAAUACAUUUGGAAAUCUCUGGACAUUGGAAACACCAGUGAAACAGUCUCAUUUUAGUAUUUCUUUCUCCAGGAUUUGGCAUUUGUGAAAAUUAAGCUACACUAUUUUGCUGGACUACAUAUAUAGCAAAAUUUAACAACAUUUACAUAGCUUCAACAUGAACAUAGGUCCAUUUACAUAAAUUCAUAGCGGAAACUAACUCUGACCCAUCAUCUUGUGAGAGUGCCCUUAAUCCCAGUUGCACCCGUAAACAAUAAAAUGUAAUUAGCUGUGCUGCUUUCAGGAAUGAGUUCUUUAUUAUGGAUGUGGCUAAGUGUCAGAAUCGGCUGAAAAACAAGACAGCCCAGUUUCAGAUGCAUUCAAUUUCAGAAAACUGAAAUUAAAAACACUGUUUUUCAUUUUUCCUAUGUUUUCCAGUAGCAAGUUAUGUUAAUAUGAAAAAAAUAUACAUCAUUUCCCAGAAUGAUCUUUGUACCUUUGACAGAUUCUUUACCUAACCACACAAAUGCUUUGCAUUCAAAGCAUUUACAGUCUCUGCCUUACUGCAAUAAAAGAGGUUUUCAAUUAUUUUUCAAUUGCAGAAAAGCUAAAUGAAGUGUGCACUGCUCAGGCAAUUCAGCUUUCUUAUUACAAUGC
RNA transcript from Strigops habroptila (Kakapo), 3995 nucleotides. It is a transcript of the gene named family with sequence similarity 89 member A, with no coding region annotated. The record is from RefSeq and is a predicted model, not a curated record. Lineage: Eukaryota; Metazoa; Chordata; Aves; Psittaciformes; Psittacidae. The transcript is spliced from 4 exons.